This is a long non-coding RNA of Triplophysa dalaica, 12350 nucleotides long. RefSeq lists it as uncharacterized. The record is from RefSeq and is a predicted model, not a curated record. NCBI's taxonomy places the organism in Eukaryota, Metazoa, Chordata, Actinopteri, Cypriniformes, Nemacheilidae. The transcript is spliced from 11 exons.
CUGGAUGAGCUGAACAAACAAAGUUGUUGCAUAAACACAAGACUUUGUCCCGUAUGAAAGAUUGUUCUGAUCAUUUUGGCUUUAAACAGGUCUUGGGAUUAUCAGUCAAUUUAUCCUAAACCUAUAAGUGCGGCUUACGGGCCAAAUAUCUUUCUGAGGAAUUAAAACUUCCGAAUCAAGAUGCUAUCAAGAUGUUACAUGUAGAAGGUCUUCUGUUUGCCUUCCUCAAUACGUCACAAUAUCUGCUGUCGUGUUCAACAGAACAAUGACUAUACAAAUGUUGCCGUCACAAAGAACUACCUGUGUCUGUGGUGUUGGGAAAGAGCUACAGUAAGAUCUGCUCGACACGGCUAUGUGAGACGAGACCUUCGCGGGAAAAUUCGACGAGGAUCCAGCGUAUCAGAUAAGCGAGGCGCACAACUCAAUGACAGUUUUGCGAUUUCAAGCUACGUUAAAUAGACUGUUGAAAGUGCAACAUUUCAAGCCGAAAUUGUUAAGUGCUAAACCUCAAGAAUCAAGUUGAAAUGAUUUUGGACACAAAAGGGCGUUGCAAUUAAAAUCUAUUUAAUUAUAUUAACCUUUUGUUUACUGUGCUAUGCCUAGAAGUAUAGGGGUGAUUUAAUACGCUGGUACUUGUUACAAGGUUAAAGGGGCUUUGCAGUAAUUUGUUUUAAGAACAAUUUAAAGGUUUAAACUGUCUAUGGCAAGCCAAAGGGACAGUUCAUGUGAAUUUACAGAAGUGCACCUCUUCUGAGUUACAAAAUAGCAGUUUAAUACACUUGGAAAUUAAGUAUUUGAACUGUUUAUAUUGCAUUGCACAUUGUGCAAAGUAUUUUAUGAUUCAAUUUGUUUGAAAUUGGUUUCACUUCUUGAGGUUAAGAUUUAUUUAAGUCUAGGUGACAAUACAGGGUUGAAUGCAAUAUUAAGUAUGUGUUAAGAAAUCCAAGUGCUCGUAGUUGUUAAAGAAUUCAUUUAGUUCACCUUCUGACUAUUCACAUUUAAGAACACCCUAGUUUCCAUUUACACAUAGCCUUACAAACAAGUCAGUCUUAGCAACAACAGACAUACAGUUCAUUACUUUAUCCAUUCAUCUUAUUUCAAAAUGUUAAACGCAUACAAUGAGAUUCGCCAGGGAAAUGCUGAAUCACAUGGUCAGGCAGAAGUUACAAACCCUGAAUCUGCAGACGUAGAAAAGCUGUGUAGAAGUGAAAGAACUCGAACUUUAACUAAAAAGGGAAAACAACCUCAAGAUAAAAAACUAUAGGCUAUACAUCGGGAAAUACAAAUGGAAGUCUCAUGUGAGAAUAGGCAAGGAAAUACCAUAUGAUGAGGUCUCCCGAGAUGAAUUAAUAUAUAUACUAAUAUAGAAAAAUAUGGAAAACGCAUGUCCUGAAGUAUAGAUUGUCUAUAAAGUAGUUCAAACUCCUGAAACAGAUCUGCGACGUAGAGUUGACGCUUGUAUAUCGCUUUCAGAAUGCAUUAUUCAACGAGCACAAAGACAACUUGAACGAUGUGCAGCAGAUGAGGAGAAAGAACCGCGGCCUGAUGUGGGAUCAAUUUUAGCUUCAACAAGCUCUGCAUCAAGACCAAUGUCUCAAGGAUCAAAGUGUAGUUCAGCCCACUUCAGUUUACGCUCUGCAAAAAUAAACGAGGCUGUGGCUGAAGCGGCUGCAUCUCAGGAAGUUUUAGCAGUGUUGGAAGAACAGGAAAGAGAAAUAGCAGAACUUCAAAGAACUUCUAGAGUUUGAAAGUAGGCAAUGGCUCAAUUUGAAUCUGAUGACCUGGCAAGACACCAAGCAAUACAAGCGCAGAAGGCUUGAACGCUUGGAAGAAAUUAAAAAGUUGAAUGCUGCCAGUGCUCGAUGAAGUGUAUGAUCAAUUUGAAGCAAAUUUUAAGCCAAUUAAUUCCCAGCACGCUACUGAUGUAGUAGAAGGACUUCAGGUUUCCAACUACGCAAAGCUCUUGGUCAGUACUCUGCCUCAGCCAUUCAUCACACAAACACUUGAUGCCUCAAGCCAUCAAUUCAUUCCUCAAUCUCAGGCAAUACAAACCCAGACUUUGCAAUGGUCAUCAAAAGCCCCACCUGUUUUGACAUCUAUGACACAAUGAAACUGCAAUGCCACACCUUAAGACUUUGGAAAUUCUUAAUGACUACAAUGAGAAUCAAAAAAUCCUAUUGAAGCUACCAGAUUGGUUCGUUUCCAGAUGGAACCGCGAAGUGAUGGAAGCCAGAUGAAAAAUAAAGCCUGAUUAUCCGCGAUUCAAAGAUUUUGUAGACUUCCUGUCUAAAGAAGCAGAUCUCGCUUGCAAUCUAAUAUCUUCGAAGCUCAAAGGUGUAGAAAGCACAAAACCCAAGCAGUUGAGAAACCAACCCAUUCAAAGACGCUGUACACAAACACAACACAGAGCCGUACCUCAUCAUGCCCUUUUUGUAAGAGAACAGGACAUGGCUAAAUGUACAAGGUUUGGCGAGAAGACAUUGCAAGAUUGUGUCAAGUUUGUGCGCACAGAGAAGCUUUGCUUUGGGUGUUUGCAGGCUGGGGCCCAUUUCGAUUAGGAUCGUGAAUCAAUAAACAAAUGGCGUAUGCAAUGUCAACACCGCUCGCGCUCGCGAGAUUGUAACAAACUCUGGGUUUGCUCCCGGGUUUGGUUCAUGGAGUGUGUUACUCUGGUUACUCACUCGGAGUAUAAGAUACCUCGCGUUCUGAAACCAAACUCCCUGAGUAUUCCGUUUUCUGGGGUUGACUUGCUCUGAAUUUGGACUUACCCUGCUUUUUGAAACGGGCCCCAAGUCAUCAUUCAAGAAGAUGUGAUAACAGGAGCAUAUGCGAAAAGUUUAGCAAAAGAUAUCCUACUUGCUUCUGAUGACAAGUUAGGAGAGGUGAAAACUCAAAGGAGACAGAUAAUAAGGAGAUAGUUGCAACAGUAAUCGCCAAUGUAGUCAAACAAAAGGAUCUAGACACGCAAACAUCUACCAUCAUACCAGCACAAAGCAGCUUGAUCAAGAAGUCCUUGUCCAUGCACAUUUAAAUACGCAAAGUGAUACAACCUUUAUUCUGGAUAAAGUGGCUCAAAAUCUUGAUUCGAACAAAGAGUGUCAGUUUACAGCUAUCUAAAAUGUUGGCAAGGUCGACAGUCAUAACUUGUCAAAAACUGACAAGUCUACAACUGAGGGGUAACACCUCAGAGAAAAGGACCCAUUGCCACCAGUCUUUCCAAGAGCGGUCAUUCCGGCAAAUAGGUCACAGAUUCCAACUUCAGAAACAGCAGAAGACGUGGCCUCAUUUGGAACCGUUAUCAGACAAAAUUUUGCCAUUGUUGAACUGUGAAGUAGGCAUUUUAAUCUGCAAUCAUUUCCAGCAAGGCCUAGUCCUAAGGAAGUCUUAUCUGGGGAAGAAAAUCAGCCAUAUGCCCAACAAACCGAUCUUGGCUGGAGCAUAGUUGGAUACUCAUACCCAGCUAAUAAUCGCUGUGACACAAUAGGAAUCAGCAACAUAACUUUAGUGCGACAAGUUAUGCCCGACGUAAAGUUGUCCAUUAACCUGAAAAGAGAGGUACACUUUGUGUGCAGGACUCGUGUCUAGGAAAUAAUUUCAACAGACAUUAUCAAGGCUCUCAAAUCCGACUUCAUUAAUAAUAGCACAGAUGAUACCCAGUUUCUCAGGAAGACCUUCUUUUCUUAUCCAAGGUAUAAGGCAAAAGGAAAAUCGCCACUUUGAACUUCCACUUCCCUUCAAGACGGACAAAUCUAAUCUCCCAGACAACAACCAAUUGGCUGUCCAUAGACUGAAUUCGUUAUAGUUUUAGAUUGUUCAGCACGCUUCCAAGACACCUCUCUAAACGAUCACCUUUUGACUGGCCCAGACAUGACCAACACAUUAGUGGGAGUGCUGUGUAAUGUGUGAUGUCGAGCAAAUGUUCGACAUCGGAAAUCGGGAAGUCUACAACGGAAAUCGUCAUUAUUAAUCAGAUGCAAGAAGAUGCCUUCUCUGAAGACAUUAAAAGAAUCAAGUUUCAGAAAAAGAUCAUCCUGAACAAGGAUAAGUCACAGCAAGUUUUAUAUAUAAUUUUCAUAUGAAUACAAUUCACAUAUUAUGUUGUUUUGGGAUAUUACAAAUAUAUUGGCGGUACCAGUAAGUCAUCAAAUACAAUCAGUUUCUUCAUAUUUCCUUAUUUUUUUUAUAUACAAUAACUAAGCAGUUUUUGCUUGACUGUAGAAAUCACAGGCACAUGUAAACAAAAAUCAAGUCAAGUGUACACAUAUUUUACAACUGUUUAAAUAGUACAGCUGCAAUGCAAAUGACAUUUUGUAACUAAUUAACCCCCAGACCAUCGUCCUGAAGUAACGAUGAAAACGAUCGUGGUACAGCUUAUACUCCUGGAUCGGUGUGUACCUGAUAUCGUCUUUUUCUCUUCCUUUGCUCAUUCUGGCAAAAAGCAAUAAACUAAUCUUCACUGCUGCUGGUGCUGGAGAUCUCCAUUUCUUGUUCUGCUGUUGGAAGUACGUAAAGCAAACAGUACUAGUAGCCUGUAUUGCUAUGCGCUAAGCUAUUCUUCCUCUCAGCAGCCAAAGCCUGAAUAGCGGUUGAGCUCCACAUAAUGUUGAGGCGUGAAAUACAUUCUCCAUCAGCGCCUUCUACCAUGCGGGUGUCAAAUAGAAGAAAGCAAUCAUUCGUUUCGUCGUUGAUAUGAAAACGGGGUUUGUCGGGUAUAGGCCCUUUUCACAAUGACGUAACUCAACUUCCGCCUUUUCGCAAAGCAGUGUAUCAUAACAUCCGUCUUUCAACAAACAAGGAGAAGAACAACUUCCGUUUUGCCGUCGAACUGUAAUUGAACAACAGUGAAAAACUGACAGAACACGUAUUGAAGUACUUAUCCUAGCACCUCCGCUAACACAAAAUGAAAAAAACACACUUACCUUCAUAAACAAACGAAGAAUUUGUAUCCUUUAUCUAGCCUUGAUCUUGCCUUGAUCUUCUUUCUGGGGCAAUCGUGGCCUAAUGGUUAGAAUGUUGUACUCGUGACCAGAAGGUUGCUGGUUCGAUCCUCAGUGCAGACGGGUAAUGAUUGAGGUGUCCUUGAGCAAGGCACUUUACCCCUACUUGCUCCCCGGGCGCUGCAGUGAUAGCUGCCCACUGCUCUGGUUGUCCAUGUGUUCAUUGCUGUGCGUGUGUUCACUACUCACUGGAUGGGUUGAAAGCAGAGGUACAUUUUGCAGAUAUCUGACAAAUUCUCUGAAAAUAACUUUUCACUUUCAAUGUGGAGUAAAAUGGUCUUUGAACCUGAGAAAUAUUGAGAUGUGUAAAAUCAGAAGUCAUCCGUGGUACAAGAUAACUGAUAAAGAUGUGAAAAGCUGUUUACUUAUCUAACUUGCUGAAUUAAGUGAUAUGACAAUUUAAAUGUUUUGGGCACCAAUGAUAAAUUGCACAUACUACGUUAUAUCUUUGCGCACAUGUUUAGCAUAUAUAUUAUGAUACGCAUAUUUUUUUUCCUGUUAGUUAUGAUUAUAGAAUACUGCUUAUGGAGGAAUUUCAUGACAUGACUUUGUUUUUCAUCCUUAUUCACAAUGUAUUGCUCUUCGAUUUAAACACAUUUGUAUGAGAUUCAGAAAAGCACCUGACUGCUGUGUUUUUGUUGUCUGGUAGUGUUUAUGAAAUCUGGGCACUUUUUCCAGCCCCAACCCUACAUGGUCCCAAUCUGGGCAUGUUCCGCCCCGUUACUAUGACAACAAUCUACAUAGAGCAAGGCCACAGUUUUGCCACAGUUAGAGACAAGAGAAUGGGGUGAAGAAGGGGAAACAGGUCAUGAUGAUGAUGAAAUAAUUGUGGUGGGCGAGGAUUUAUAUAAAAGAAACACGAAGAUAACCGCAAGUUACCUGAUUGGUUCAAAGUAAGGAACACCUCUUGACGUUUGGGUAUAACUGUUGAUGCAAAGCACUGUGUUUUCAGAUGACUUGGAACGUCUCACUUUGUUUGGCUCGAGCAAAUAAAGUUUACUCUUUGACACCUGGACCUUCUUUGUUUGGUAGAUUUUUAAUCCGCAAGAUCAUUUAUCCCCAUCACGUACAACAGAUCAAUGGCGUUCUUGUACAAUGUUCGAUUGGCAUUUCUAGCCAUGCUGAUGUUGGCUCUACAUCUGGAGUUAACCAGUGCUGGUGUCAAAAUUACAAAUUUAAGAGCCAACAACCUCUCCGGCGCCGAUCCCUCAGGAGACAAAGCUGAUGCAUAUUUGAAGGUCUCGUGCGGUUCUGAAAAGGAUGCUCUGUCGGGAUAUGUUGAAGAUGAUGAUAACCCCAGGUGGUACGCAGAGUUCAACUUUCCAAGUUGUAAAGGCAGUAACUCCCUGAGGCUGGAGGUGUGGGACAGAGAUUGGUAUUUUGAUGACCAUUUGGCAUCCUGUCGAUCAUCUCCACCACUGAAGAGCGGCUCUUAUUAUUGUAACGCUUAUGGAACUCUGCAUUUUGAUUUAGAGGUGUAUUAAAUCUGUUCUGAGAUCAUCUCCACUGUAACCAGCUCUGAAGUAAUCAAGUAGACAGUGAAUUUCAUGUUCUGCUGGUUUUGCAGUGAAAGAUGUUUCUGCCAAACAGGUUGUGGUAAGGUUAAAAAAUACUGUAGUAUUUAGGAAUUUUACUACAGUUGACUGUAGUAUUCUACUGUAUUUUGCAUCUUUCUGAAAUGACUGCAAACUGGUUUUAAUUCAAAUAAAAAAAUCAUGCAGUGUUAUGCUGUUGCACCAUCUCCAGUUGACUGUUAGGCGCAGUGUGUCCGUUUCGCCGCUAGAGGUCGUUUAUUCAAAACCAUCAACACAAGUUUUGGACCAAAAAAGAUUUGCUAGAUUGCACAACCUGAACCUUCAUUUUUGCUCGGUCUACACACUGUUCAACACCAGGGACCCACCGGAAUCAGUGUUACUGUUGAAUACAACUAAAACAUUUUGUUUAUUGAAAUAAAAAUGCAUAAAUUAUUUUAAGUUCUUUAAACCUAAAUAAAAAAUAUGACUAGAAACGCUGCCUCAGUAAAAAACUGAAAUGAGUUUUUAGUUGCGGUGUUAAAAUCUUCAUCAAAAAAAGCUAAAACUAAAAUAAUGAAACCUAUAGGGCUGUCAAACAAUUAAUCAAGAUUAUUCGCAUCCAGAAUAAAAGUUUGUGUUUACAAAAUAUAUGUUUGUGUACUGGGCAUGUAAUUUUUUUGUUUAUGAACACAUACACAUAAAUGCAUACAUUUAAGAAAAAUAUAAAAUAUAACAAUAAACAUUUCUUUAUUUUAUUUACAAUUAUUGGUCAAUUUAAAUUAAUAGAUUUAAAUAUUUCCUAAGAAUAUAGACAAGUAUGUGUAUGUUUUGUGUUCAUUAAUACAAAUUAAUAUGCAGAGUACAUACAUAUAUUAAAUUAUUUAAUUACAAAACUUUAUUCUGGAUGCGAUGAAUUGCGAUUAAUCGUUUGACAGCCCUUAAAAAAUAAAGUGUUAAAAUCACUAAACAAAAAAAAGUUUACAUUUAAAUUAUCAUGAAAACAAAAUAUAUACAAUAAAAACAUGAAUAAAUGUCUUUCCUUAUAAAAACUUGAUUUUACAGCUCCUACAGGACAGGAAACUGAAAUCUGAUUAUUAUCCACAUGGUUCAUGUUUUCUAUAAUAGGAUGAAUAUUACCCUCAUAUGAACAUGAAAAUAAAAUAAAAACAAUCAUAUUUAUGUAUUUGGCAGCCAUUGGUGUCGAAAGUGAUGCAUUGCUCAAAUCACGUAUAAUUUGGAAGUCAAUCCGUCAACCUUGACAUUGUUUGUGCCACUGGAUGAGCUGAACAAACAAAGUUGUUGCAUAAACACAAGACUUUGUCCCGUAUGAAAGAUUGUUCUGAUUCUUUAUGCUUUAAAUAGAGCUUGGGAUUAUCAGUAGGCCAUCUCAAUUUAUCCUAAAAUUACAAGUGGGGUAAGGAUUUAUUUUUUGCCAUUAUUUACACUUGACAAUGAGUCUAAAUAUUCUCUGUUAUGAUUUAACAUUAAUGCUUGUGGAUUUUGUUGUUUUUCUUGACAGUCAUGGCAUUCUUACACAUGCUGAUCUGGUUUUCAGGCUUACGGGCCAAGUAUCCUUCUGAGGAAUGCCCCUGAUCCAUAUGUCCAAGUCUGGGGAUUAUUUCAGAGGAAUAUUUUAAGCCCUUUAUAGUCUGCAGGGAUCAGCUUUUAAAACUUCUGAAUCAUUGACCCUGAAGCUGGAGGUGUGGGACAAGGAUCUGAAUGUUGAUGAUCAUCUGUUCACAUGUCAGAAAGGUGACAAGAUGCUAUGAAGAUGUUACAUGUGAUGAUCCAGAAUGCAGAGCCAAGAGUGUUCUUCAAUGAACCGAAGAGAGCACGCGUCACUCCUCUCUUCAUUAAGUUACAAGAGCACCACUGGUUUGGCACCCUCUUAUCUUCACUCACUUAUGCAGAAUUAUGUACCCGCUAGAUCCUUACACUAUAUGCAAACGACCGACGUCUUGUGGUGCCAUCCCAAAAAGGUAAAAAAUUGCUCUCAUGAACCUUCUUUGGAUCUGUUCCACAUUUGUGUAAUGAUCUACCUGCUGCUACAAGAUCAGCAGAUUCUGUCCCCACCUUUAAGAAUCGGCUGAAAACACAUCUCUUCAGUCUGCACCUGAUAUAUAUAUAUAUCUUUUCUACAAUAUCUAAAAAAUGUAUUGGAAAAAAAACAUGCUUAUUUAUACUUAGAUAAACUAAACUUUGCUCUGUACACUGUAGUAGACUUUGUGAGACCUGUUUUUAUUGCACUUAUGCUUUUUGUUCUCCUAAUGUUGACCCAAUUGCUUCCAUUGUUUAUCCAACUUCAAGUCGCUGUGGAUAAAAGUGUCCGCUAAAUGUAAAUGUAAAUGAAAAGCUUUUUACUUAUCUAACUUGCUGAAUUAAGUGACAAUUUAAAUGUUUUGGGCACCAAUGAUAAAUUGCACACGCUACGUUAUAUCUUUGCGCACUUGUUUAACAUAUAUAUUUUGAUACACAUAUUGUAUUCCUGUAAGUUAUAGUCUCCUGAUGUUAUGGUUUUUCGCAAAUAACUGUGAUCACUGUUAUCACAAAAGGUGAGAAUGUCUGGGGCCUCAAAGGGGGGGAUACUGUAUAUGUAGGAAUUUCAUGACAUGACUUUGUUUUUCAUCCUUAUUCACAAUGUAUUGCUCUUCGAUUUAAACACAUUUGUAUGAGAUUCAGAAAAGCACCUGACUGCUUUGUUUUUGUUGUCUGGUAGUGUUUAUGAAAUCUGGGCACUUUUUCCGGCCCCAACCCUACAUGGUCCCAAUCUGGGCAUGUUCCGCCCCGUUACUAUGACAACAAUCUACAUAGAGCAAGGCCACAGUUUUGCCACAGUUAGAGACAAGAGAAUGGGGUGAAGAAGGGGAAACAGGUCAUGAUGAUGAUGAAAUAAUUGUGGUGGGCGAGGAUUUAUAUAAAAAAAUACACAAAGAUUGGUUUACCACCAAUAGAAACGGAUGAAAGGGGCGGGACCUAAAGAGAUAACCAGAAAUGACCGGAUUGGUUCAAAGUAAGGAACACCUCUUGACGUUUGGGUAUAACUGUUGAUGCAAAGCACUGUGUUUUCAGAUGACUUGGAACAUCUCACUUUGUUUGGCUCGAGCAAAUAAAGUUUACUCUUUGACACCUGGACCUUCUUUGUUUGAGAGAUUUUUAAACUGCAAGAUCAGUUAUCCCCAUCCCGUACAACAGAUCCAUGGCGUUCUUGUCCGAUGUUCGAUUGGCAUUUCUAGCCAUGCUGAUGUUGGCUCUACAUCUGGAGUUAACCAGUGCUGGUGGUGUCAGAGUUACAGGCUUACGUGCCAACAACCUCUCCGGCGCCGAUCCAGCGGGAAACCAAGCUGAUGCAUAUGUGAAGGUCUCGUGCAAUGGUUUAUUUAGGAGUAUGACAGAACAUCGCAGAGAUACAGAUUACCCCCAGUGGACCGCAGAGUUCAACAUAACAAAUUGUGAAGUCGGUGACACCCUGGCACUGGAGGUGUGGGACAAAGAUUUGAUUUUUGAUGACCAUUUGUACACUUGUAUCUUAGAGCUUAAGAGGGGGUCUCAUAAAAUCACUUGUCCGGACAAAUAUUAUGGAACUCUGUAUUUCGAUUACACUAUGUUUUAAAUCUGUUCUGAGAUCAUCUCCACUGUAACCAGCUCUGAAGUAAUCACGUACACAGUUCAUUGCAAGUUCUGCUUGUUGUGUAUUGAAAUGUGUUUGUGCCAAACAGGUUGUGGUAAUUUUACUACUGUCGACUGUAGUAUUCUACUGUAUUUUGCAUCUUGCUGAACUAACCGCAAACUGUUUUUUAUUCAAAUAAAAAAAUCGAUGCAGAGUAUAUUCUGUUGCACAAUGUCCAGUUGACUGUUAGGCGCAGUGUGUCCGUUUCGCCGCUAGAGGUCGCUUAUUUAAAACCAUCGACACAAGUGGUGGACCAAAAAAGAUUCGCUUGAUUGCACACCCCUUAAGUUCUUUAAACCUAAAUAAAAAAUAUUACUAGAAACGAUGCCUCGGUAAUAAACUGAAAUGGGUUUAAGCUGUGACGUUAAAAUCUUCACUGAAAAAAGCUAAAACUAAAAUAAUGAAACCUAAAAAGAUAUAUUAAUCAUAGGGCUGUCAAACGAUUAAUCGCAUACAGAAUAAAAAUUGUGUUUACAUAAUAUAUGUCGGUGUACUGUACAUAUUAAUUUUGUAUUUAUGAAUACAUACACAUAAAGUCAUAUACUUGAGAAAAAUAUAACAAUAAAUAAACGUUUUUUAUUGUAUUUACAAUUAUUGGUCAAUAUAAAUUAAUACAUUUAAAUAUUUUCUAAGUAUAUCGACAAGUAUGUGUAUGUUUUGUGUUUAUAAAUACAAAAUUACUACACACAGAUAUAUAUACUAACUUGGCGCAAACAGCGUCGCCAUGGAGACGGAGGAAAUCAAGGCGGCAUACCUGCAGGUCAUCACCAGCUGCAGCUUAUUCUCAACAAGAAGGAAGAUGUGCAACAGCUCUGUGCACACAGCCUUACCCCGUGUCAGAUCGAGGCCUUAUACCCACACCUUCCUCUCCUCUCCCACGGCGACUUCAAAUAAAGUUACCCUCCGGGGUUGUGUGUUGCACCUCUGGUGUACUUGAUGUUGCUCUGCCUGCUCAUAUGUAAAAACAAACCUAUAUUCUGGAUGCGAUUAAUCGCGAUUAAUCCUUUGACAGCCCUAAAAAAAGUGUGUUUAAAAUCAUAAAACAAAAAAAAUUCAAUUUAACUUAUCAUGAAAACAAAAAAUAUACACUAAAAACAUGAAUAAAUGUCUUUGCUUAUAAAGACUUGAUUUUACAGCUCCUACAGGACAGAGAACGAAAAACUGAUUACUAUCCACAUGGUUCAUGUUUUCUGUAAGAGGAUAGGAUGAAUGUUACCCUCAUAUGAACAUGAAAAUAAAAAAAACAUAUUUAUCGUAUUUGGCAGCCACUGGUGUCCAAAGUGAUGCAUUGCUCAAAUCACGUAUAACUGGUCAACCUUGACAUUGUUUGUGCCACUGGAUGAGCUGAACAAACAAAGUUGUUGCAUAAACACGAGACUUUGUCCCGUAUGAAAGAUUGUUGUGAUUCUUUUGGCUGUAAAUAGGGCUUGGGAUUCUAAAUUUAUCCUAAAACUACAAGUGGGUCAUGGCAUUCUUACACAUGCUGAUCUGGAUUUCACGCUUACGGGCCAAGUAUCCUUCUGGGGAAUGUCCCUGAUCCAUAUGUCCAAGUCUGAGGAUCAUUUCAGAUGGAUAUUUUAAGCCCUUUAUGGUCUGCAGGGAUCAGCUUUUAAAACUUCUGAAUCAUAGAACCUGAAGCUGGAGGUGUGGGACAAGGAUUUGAAUGUUGAUGAUCAUCUGUUCACAUGUCAGAAAGGUGACAAGAUGCUUUGAAGAUGUUAUAUGUGUGUACGAUAGUCAGUGGUGGCCAAGAACUGUUUAGCUACAAGCAUUCUUCCCAAUAUAUUUCUCUGUUUUCAUCAAAAAUGAAUUUCUAAAACAGAUUUGGAUCAACUUGAGGCACCUGAGCUUUGAAAACAGAGAUGGUCUCCAGCUCCUUCUCCCUCUCGAAGAUUUCCAUCUUCAUGCCAUCGAUCUUCUCCUGUUUGUCCGCCAGGGCCUUUUCUGCGACUGUAAACCUGGUUUGGAGGUCUUCGUACUCUUCCUUUGACACACUUCCCUGAUCAAGCACACAAACAUCUAUCAUCGACUUUAACAGCAGCGUGCAGACUAUCCAUCUGGACCUUCAGACUCUCGUUCUCAGUCUGGACCUUCUGCUUGUCUCCGAGCUGGGUCCUCAGAGUGCUCCGAUCCUGCUCCAGUUCUUUACACCUGCGGAAAGAGUGAUAAGAC